GUACUGCUGAAGAGUCCCGAACUAGGACGAAACAAGUGUCCAGUAC
Molecule: non-coding RNA, 46 nt
Organism: Trichobilharzia regenti
Lineage: Eukaryota; Metazoa; Platyhelminthes; Trematoda; Strigeidida; Schistosomatidae
Source: Rfam